Molecule: long non-coding RNA, 342 nt
Organism: Gallus gallus (chicken)
Lineage: Eukaryota; Metazoa; Chordata; Aves; Galliformes; Phasianidae
Source: Ensembl
AUCCCUGUGUACCUGAGGCCUUCUAAAGGUUCUUAAGAAUCCAGCUGUGUUUUCAAGCAUCCAGAUGUGCAUGUCAAGGAUGGUCCUGUCUGCAGUCGCCAGCCUGGCAGGUAGCAGAAAUCCCUACUGUAAUGAAUGGGAGCAAAUGAACUUUCUUUCCUGUUGCUAGUGAAUGCCUUCAGUAGCCAUCAGUGCCCUGGAGAUUGCCUUUGGGUUCUUCCUUUGUACCACCAUAACAAAGUCUUUGCAAUAGCACUUCACUUGAUUCUGGAUCCCCACACAACCAAGAAGUUAAGGAGCAGUUUUAGAUUGUUUUUUGAUCUGUGGGUCCCACAGGUGGCU